AGCGAACGCUGGCGGCAGGCCUAACACAUGCAAGUCGAACGAACUCUUCGGAGUUAGUGGCGGACGGGUGAGUAACACGUGGGAACGUGCCUUUUGGUUCGGAAUAACUCAGGGAAACUUGUGCUAAUACCGAAUGUGCCCUUCGGGGGAAAGAUUUAUCGCCAUUAGAGCGGCCCGCGUCUGCUUAGCUGGUUGGUGAGGUAACGGCUCACCAAGGCGACGAUCAGUAGCUGGUCUGAGAGGAUGACCAGCCACACUGGGACUGAGACACGGCCCAGACUCCUACGGGAGGCAGCAGUGGGGAAUCUUGCGCAAUGGGCGAAAGCCUGACGCAGCCAUGCCGCGUGAAUGAUGAAGGUCUUAGGAUUGUAAAAUUCUUUCACCGGGGACGAUAAUGACGGUACCCGGAGAAGAAGCCCCGGCUAACUUCGUG
This 433-nucleotide ribosomal RNA is filed under the name uncultured bacterium. Its description in RNAcentral is "partial 16S ribosomal RNA". It matches the Rfam family "Bacterial small subunit ribosomal RNA", at positions 29 to 507 of the family's 1533-position model. The record is from RNAcentral.